This 301-nucleotide ribosomal RNA is filed under the name uncultured bacterium. Its description in RNAcentral is "partial 16S ribosomal RNA". It matches the Rfam family "Bacterial small subunit ribosomal RNA", at positions 509 to 809 of the family's 1533-position model. The record is from RNAcentral.
CAGCCGCCGCGGUAAUACGUAGGUGGCAAGCGUUGUCCGGAAUUAUUGGGCGUAAAGGGCUCGCAGGCGGUUUCUUAAGUCUGAUGUGAAAGCCCCCGGCUCAACCGGGGAGGGUCAUUGGAAACUGGGAAACUUGAGUGCAGAAGAGGAGAGUGGAAUUCCACGUGUAGCGGUGAAAUGCGUAGAGAUGUGGAGGAACACCAGUGGCGAAGGCGACUCUCUGGUCUGUAACUGACGCUGAGGAGCGAAAGCGUGGGGAGCGAACAGGAUUAGAUACCCCUGUAGUCCCUGUCGCUUAUAC